Molecule: transfer RNA, 82 nt
Filed under: Fulvimarina pelagi HTCC2506
Lineage: Bacteria; Pseudomonadati; Pseudomonadota; Alphaproteobacteria; Hyphomicrobiales; Aurantimonadaceae
Also listed under: 1 other name
Rfam family: tRNA
About the family: Transfer RNA (tRNA) molecules are approximately 80 nucleotides in length. Their secondary structure includes four short double-helical elements and three loops (D, anti-codon, and T loops).
Source: Rfam by way of RNAcentral
GCCCCUGUGGUGGAAUUGGUAGACGCGCGCGACUCAAAAUCGCGUUCCGAAAGGAGUGCUGGUUCGAUCCCGGCCAGGGGCA